AAAGAUUAUACAGGGGAAAAAAGAUUACACAGGGAAAAAAAGGAAAGGAGAAACAAAGCUGUGGAGCUUAGUAGCCUACAAUGAAGGCAAUACUAUCACCGCCACCACCAAGAUCAAACAUCUUCUGCUCCCAUCAUGAGCGUUUCUUUCUCUCUGUAUAUCCCACUUGGCCGCUGCAGAAGCCACCUCGCUUAGACGCAAGAUUGGGCGCCAAUCGACCGCAGAAUCUGAAGGUGGUGUUCGUAACGAGAGCUGCUGAUUCAACUCAGCCUUCAACUACUGCCUCGCCGUCUUCUGCCAAAACUAUUGUUACUGAUGAUGAAUUCUCUCUCGCUAAGGUUUUGUACCGAAUGGAAUUUCUCUUUUAUUUCAUUUUCUGUUUUUUCGUGGCAACAUUUCUGCGCGAUUAAACUGAAUUUCAGUAGCUGCUAAAGUAUAUUAUUGGUUUAGCUUUUUCUCUAAAACUUUCUCUAUCAAAAUUGAAGAAUAAAAUGCUGGAAAACUGAUAUGGUUGCCAGUUAUCACUUACCCAUAGUGGAAGCAGUUCGUUUUCAUAUAUUUUGAGGAAUGAAAUUAGGGUAUGUGCGGAUAAAGAAUUUCAAUUUUAAAUUUUUAGUUCAAAAUAUAUGUAUAUAUUAGAACUUGUACAGGAGAAGGAAAAAUAUACGUCAAUCAAAUAUUGGAUUUUUUUUCUUUAUUUUUAUUUUUUUAUAUACUAUUGGCUUUGGACUCCAGUAAUACUGAACUAAAGCUGUUGGAUAGUGUAUUUCCAAUUAAUCCUUAAAAACAAAUUUGAUCCAUAUUUACGAGCUAUCAAACCAGCAGAAUUUAAACUAUUUUUAUGCAAUUUCAACUAAAAUAUGAAGUAUAAAUUCCUUCAUAUUUCCUCCCAUAUAAUUUCAAUCUUAUGUUAUCUAAUAUUUUCAGGUGUCAUUUGGUGUUAUUGGAAUGGGUGUUGGGAUUUCACUCUUAUCGUGAGUUCUUUUAGCUUUUGAUGGUACCUAGUAUUCUUAAAUUGGACGCUGAUUGUGCAUAAUCCGCAGGUAUGGUUUUGGGGCGUACUUUAAUGUCCUUCCAGGAUCUGAAUGGUCAGCAUUAAUGCUAACGUAUGGCUUUCCUCUUGCAAUUAUUGGUAUGGCUCUCAAGUAUGCGGAACUGAAGCCAGUACCAUGCCUGACUUAUUCUGAUGCUCAAAUGUUAAGGGAAACAAGUGCUACUCCAAUCCUUAAACAGGUAUUUCUUUAUCAUCUGGCUUUUUGUGAAUAAUUUGAUUCAGAAACUCGGUAGAUUUUGUGAACUUAGGUUAGCGCUGAACCAAUUUUGAAGUAUUAAAACAAGAGAUGAAAUGCAAAAAUUGAGAAACAUUUCCAAAAAUAGGGCCUUUUACUUUCCAAUUUCUUUUUUCUAUUUACAUCUCCUGUUAUCAUUUUCCACUACUUAUUAUUCAAUUGACUUUGUAUUUGUUUUAGGAUUAAGAAAAAUUAGAUGAAAUUUAUAUUAAUAUUUACAGACGUAAAUAGUUAAGGUAUGCAUUCAUAUAUACUAUGGUGGUAUUAUGGUGCUAAUGGUAAUAUUAUGGUGCUAAUGGUAAUGGUACUACUGGUGGUGGUGGUACAACGAUGUUAGUGGUGGCAAUGGUGAUGGCGGUUUUAUAGUGUUGGUGUGGUAGUUCCAUAGUAGCUGUGGUGAUGGUGCUGUUGGUGUGACUUGAUGGUAGUGGUAAUGUCUGCGGUCAUUGCUGUGGCAUUAUUGGUACUGAUAAUGGUAGUAUAGGAUGUAUGCCUAUGCUUAUUGACUUUCAUAAACAGAAUAACUUAUUGUAGUUUUAAUUAGGUUAGGAGUGAUGUUAUAAGAUAUCGAUAUGGAGAUGAGCAGCAUUUGGACGAGGCACUAAAACGUAUUUUUCAGUAUGGUCAGGGUGGAGGAAUUCCAAGGAGGAGUGCCCCUAUUCUACAGAUGAUUCGUGAAGAGGUAACAGAAGAUGGUAAAUACUGCCUAGUCUUGGUGUUUGAGGCAAAAGCAUUACAGUUGUCGGAUUUUGAUAAAAGACAGGAAAAAUUUGCUUCAUUCUUUGGACCAGACGUCAGAGCUGAAGUUGGGAAGGGGGAGAAUGAUCUAUAUGAAGUCCGACUAAUUUCCAACUUAAAUGGCGAUUUGUCGUCUUCAUGAAGUGAUUAAUGGUAUCAUCUGAUUCUGCUAUUUACUUUAGCUUUUGUUCAUUAAAGUAGUCUCUCGGUUAAACUUUUAUAUUCUGAUGUUUUAGAUUUAGUUUGCCGUUUAUAUUUUGCAACAUGUAAAAUUUUUGUUUCUCCAAAUAUAUAUAUAUAUAUACACGAAAGCAGGUGGGAAAGAAUGAAUGAAAUGAUGGACAAAGAUGACAGGAACAAAGCAGAAUUAUAAUUGAAAAGCAACAAGUAAUUCCAUUAACAUGAAGGUAUUCAAAGGGGAAUGGCAAAAUAGGAUUCUAUUUUAUUCUUUGUGUUUUUUACUGGCUGGCUGGCUUCAAGUAAACUUGAAAUCUAUUUUUGAAUAUGGAUUUUGCAAAAUUACCCAUUAUACCCUCUCCAAUCAUAAUAUGAGGGAAAAAAAAAGUUUAAAAUUUGAAUAUUUUAAAUUGGAUGUUUGGAUAAUUUUCGGUUUUUUUUUUUUUUUUUUUUUU
This 2659-nucleotide unclassified non-coding RNA is filed under the name Hevea brasiliensis (rubber tree). Lineage: Eukaryota; Viridiplantae; Streptophyta; Magnoliopsida; Malpighiales; Euphorbiaceae. The record is from RNAcentral.